GCUCGUGGUUUCCCUGGAACUCCUGGUCUGCCUGGCUUUAAGGGAAUUAGGGGACACAAUGGUCUGGAUGGUCAAAAGGGACAACCCGGUACUCCUGGCAGCAAGGGAGAACCUGGUGCCCCCGGUGAAAAUGGUACCCCAGGACAACCUGUAAGUAUUUACUGCUGCUGUGGAAAAUGAUAAUAUCUGAUUGAUAUGGUUCAGCCAGCAUUUUGGUCAAUUUUUGUCAUC
Molecule: long non-coding RNA, 231 nt
Filed under: Bubo bubo (Eurasian eagle-owl)
Lineage: Eukaryota; Metazoa; Chordata; Aves; Strigiformes; Strigidae
Description: lncRNA (ENSBOBG00000013298.1)
Source: RNAcentral